AUGUAUUUUCUUUUGUCUUCUUUUUUUUUAGAUGUUAAAUCAGAAGUGAAAUUGGAAGAGUCUGAAGGGGGUGUAAAAAGGCCUGGAGACUCCCUUUCACUGUCUUGUAAAGCUUCUGGUUUUACCUUCAGCAGCUUCUACAUGGAUUGGGUGAGACAGGCUCCUGGAAAGGACCUGGAGUGGAUUGCAGAGAUAGGUACCUCCUCAAGUCCCCUUCGCUACUCGGAUGCAGUGAAAGGACGAUUCAUCAUCUCCAGGGAUGAUUCGAACAGUCUGCUAUAUUUGCAAAUGAACAGCCUGAAAAAAGAAGACUCUGCAAUAUAUUACUGUGUAAGACACACAGUGAAGGAAACUGAAUAUGAAGCUAACCAAAAAGUCUCAUGUGACUGUCAAAGCUCUCCCCUCUGAUCCAUCUAUACUAUAACAAAUAAGGAAAGCAAAACAUGACAAGGCAUUUAUAUGCAGAAGUAGCUUGGCCUUAGAGUGCUAACUCUACUGCACAGGAACAUUGAAUAUGCACCUGGAUGAAAUAUAAUUUUUGUUAAUUGUUAAAAGAAUAAUUCCUGUAUUAAAUGGUCAUUUUGAAAUGUUGGUUCAGUAACACAGCAGAGAUGGGAGAGGGAAGUUGAUAGGAAAAAGAAUAGGCUGGAAAUCUGAAGAGCUAGGUUUCCACAGCAAUGGGACAUUCUGACCCACGUUUCAGCCUUUAAAAAUGGUCAAAAGACAAGAUAAAACUGUUGCAAGCUGAGAAAAACUGACUUCAUUUGGCAGGGAAUGACCAAAUGGACAAGAGCCGAGGGUGGAGCCGGGGGUGGAAAGGAGGUGGAACUGGGAGGGGCAAGAUAGAGCAAUGUUAGCAUAGAACAUGUAACCAAGAUAAACUUAUAUAUAUGGACACCCAUCUUGGAAAUGGGUAUGGCAUUUUGGCCUUUACAGAGCCCACCAUGGCUUGCUUCUGCAGAAAUAAAGUUUCUAUGUUAUAAUCUCCUUGUUUCUGGUCUAAACUGGGGGGAAAGACCAGGAAUCCAUUUAAAGGAAGGCCUGCCAUUUCAUAUUGUGCAAAGCGAACAGGGAUGUGAGAAAUUCUCAGUGUUUCCCUUUGAAACAUCCUACUGGAAGCCCUCUAUCAGCUGAUCUGUUCAGUGGGAUGAGGUCCUUAGAAAGCUCUGAUCCAGAGUGAUCAGG
Anolis carolinensis (green anole) is the source of this 1185-nucleotide non-coding RNA. The record is from the annotation of a RefSeq genome assembly. Lineage: Eukaryota; Metazoa; Chordata; Lepidosauria; Squamata; Anolidae.